UACGGAAGGCAGCAGUGGGGAAUAUUGCACAAUGGGCGCAAGCCUGAUGCAGCCAUGCCGCGUGUAUGAAGAAGGCCUUCGGGUUGUAAAGUACUUUCAGUCGUGAGGAAGGUGUUAAGGUUAAUAACCUUAGCAAUUGACGUUAGCGACAGAAGAAGCACCGGCUAACUCCGUGCCAGCAGCCGCGGUAAUACGGAGGGUGCGAGCGUUAAUCGGAAUUACUGGGCGUAAAGGGCACGCAGGCGGUUAAUUAAGUUGGAUGUGAAAUCCCCCGGGCUUAACCUGGGAAUGGCAUUCAAGACUGGUUAGCUAGAGUCUUGUAGAGGGGGUAGAAUUCCAUGUGUAGCGGUGAAAUGCGUAGAGAUGUGGAGGAAUACCGGUGGCGAAGGCGGCCCCUGGACAAAGGACUGACGCUCAUGUGCGAAAAGCGUGGGGAGCAAACAGGGAUUAGAUACC
Molecule: ribosomal RNA, 456 nt
Filed under: uncultured bacterium
Lineage: Bacteria
Description: bacterial SSU rRNA
Rfam family: Bacterial small subunit ribosomal RNA
Source: RNAcentral